CAGUACCUACCCAAACCCUUCGCACUCCCUCCCGUAGUCCCGUUCGUUUUCUUCUCUCUCCUCCAUCAGAUCUUCUCCUUCGAUCUUCGCCGUCUUCGCUUCUCAAACCUCGCCACUUUUUCUCUCAAACUUUCUCUCUCCUACUGCUUCUCAGCCGUCUGCUAUCACCGUCGUCUCCACCAUCACUCUGAUCGGCCUUCCAUCGACGUCCACUUCUCUGCAACCUAAUCCCGUUUUCCCUAAUUAUCUCCGUCGAAUGGUGUAUGAGGAUAUCUACGAUGCUAAGACUGCCCUUAAUCAUCUGACUGGGUUCAAUGUCGCAAAUCGGUACUUGAUUGUGUCUUAUUAUUAGCCUGUUAAGAUGAACACGAAGAUUGAUUUUAAGAAGGAGGAUAUUACCAAAUUGCAGGAGAAAUAUGGUGUUUCUACUAAAGAUAAGUGAUGUGUUUUUGGGGGAUUUAAGUUUGUGUAGAGGAUUAUGUAAAAUGUGGUUGGUUUAAUUUUUAAGGUUUUUUAUUUUCCGAUAAUCGACAUUGUUACUACUUAAUAUUUUAGUGUUAAAUUGUUGAUUACAUUAUGAAAUUUGAGUUCUUAUUAAUCUUGAAUUGAAUUUUUGUGAAGUACAACAAUACAAGCAGAAACGGAGGCGAUGAUUCGAAAGCAACCAUGGAGGACCCUGCAAUUCCAAUUCACCCUCCCUCGAAAUUCAAAAUACCCGGUCUGGUGCCACUCUGUGUAAGAAGAUUAAGAAGAUGGAGGUCAGUCAACACAACAAGUACUUUUGUGAGUUCUGCGGAAAGUACGCCGUGAAGAGAAAGGCUGUUGGUAUUUGGGGAUGCAAGGACUGUGGG
Long non-coding RNA from Spinacia oleracea (spinach), 851 nucleotides. RefSeq lists it as uncharacterized. The transcript is spliced from 3 exons. NCBI's taxonomy places the organism in Eukaryota, Viridiplantae, Streptophyta, Magnoliopsida, Caryophyllales, Amaranthaceae. The record is from RefSeq and is a predicted model, not a curated record.